AGUGGCGGACGGGUGAGUAAUGUCUGGGAAACUGCCUGAUGGAGGGGGAUAACUACUGGAAACGGUGGCUAAUACCGCAUAACGUCGCAAGACCAAAGAGGGGGACCUUCGGGCCUCUUGCCAUCAGAUGUGCCCAGAUGGGAUUAGCUUGUUGGUGAGGUAACGGCUCACCAAGGCGACGAUCCCUAGCUGGUCUGAGAGGAUGACCAGCCACACUGGAACUGAGACACGGUCCAGACUCCUACGGGAGGCAGCAGUGGGGAAUAUUGCACAAUGGGCGCAAGCCUGAUGCAGCCAUGCCGCGUGUAUGAAGAAGGCCUUCGGGUUGUAAAGUACUU
Molecule: ribosomal RNA, 338 nt
Filed under: Salmonella enterica
Lineage: Bacteria; Pseudomonadati; Pseudomonadota; Gammaproteobacteria; Enterobacterales; Enterobacteriaceae
Also listed under: 2 other names
Description: partial 16S ribosomal RNA
Rfam family: Bacterial small subunit ribosomal RNA
Source: RNAcentral